This is a long non-coding RNA of Alosa alosa (allis shad), 396 nucleotides long. RefSeq lists it as uncharacterized. The transcript has 3 exons. The record is from RefSeq and is a predicted model, not a curated record. Lineage: Eukaryota; Metazoa; Chordata; Actinopteri; Clupeiformes; Clupeidae.
CCUCACAGAAACCUGUAAGUAGGUUUCAAGGUAGAGAUUGUUGAAGGACCUAAACUGAGGUUUAGGGUAAGACUCUGCCAGAGGAAGACAAAUCUUGAGUGAAAGUCUCCUUGCAGUUAGUUUGUGAAGUGUGGGAAACUGUGGUGGGAGGAACUAAUGGUAAUUUGACAUAAUUUUUUAGGAAGGUGACAAAAUGGAGAUAUGUCAUGGAACCAAACUCUUCAAUACCAAACGCAGCUUUUUCCCUCCAAACACCUGACCACAAGGUGCACAUGGUCCCUGCACAAGCAGGAGACCUGCCCUGCAUUUCCACCCUCAGCUGUUGGAACGUCAGUAUCUCAUUCAGAGAAAAUCCCGAUGCACUUGUGGUUUUAUUAAACAACGUUCUUGGUACUC